GGACCCGCACAAGCAGUGGAGCAUGUGGUUUAAUUCGAAGAUACGCGCAGAACCUUACCAACACUUGACAUGUUCGUCGCGACUUUAAGAGAUUAAAGUUUUCGGUUCGGCCGGACGAAACACAGGUGCUGCAUGGCUGUCGUCAGCUCGUGUCGUGAGAUGUUGGGUUAAGUCCCGCAACGAGCGCAACCCUCACUUUUAGUUGCCAUCAUUUAGUUGGGCACUCUGAAAGAACUGCCAGUGAUAAGCUGGAGGAAGGUGGGGAUGACGUCAAGUCCUCAUGGCCCUUACGUGUUGGGCUACACACGUGCUACAAUGGCAUUUACAAUAGGAAGCAAAACGGCGACGUU
Molecule: ribosomal RNA, 350 nt
Filed under: uncultured bacterium
Lineage: Bacteria
Description: bacterial SSU rRNA
Rfam family: Bacterial small subunit ribosomal RNA
Source: RNAcentral